RNAcentral lists this ribosomal RNA (1332 nucleotides) under Mantoniella squamata. Its description in RNAcentral is "eukaryotic LSU rRNA". The stretch from base 599 to 1332 matches the Rfam family "Eukaryotic large subunit ribosomal RNA", at positions 1 to 840 of the family's 3401-position model. The record is from RNAcentral. Lineage: Eukaryota; Viridiplantae; Chlorophyta; Mamiellophyceae; Mamiellales; Mamiellaceae.
GUCGUAAUAAGGUUUCCGUAGGUGAACCUGCGGAAGGAUCAUUGCUAUGAUCGAUUCGCUCCGCGAAUUGUAUCGUUCUUCCCCGCGCCCAGCGGGGAACACACACACACACACACACCAAACACAAUGCUAAAGCCAUUCCUCGUGCCUCGGCACGCGGAAGAAAAGAUAACCAAAACUCUCAACAACGGAUAUCUUGGCUCUCGCAACGAUGAAGAACGCAGCGAAAUGCGAUACGUAGUGCGAAUUGCAGGAUGUAAGCGAGUCAUCGAAUCUUUGAACGCAUAUUGCGCCCGAGGCUCCGGCCGAGGGCAUGUCUGCCAGAGCGUCAGCCGAUACCCUCAACUCCACCUUCUGGGUGGACGUUGGACCUGGCCGUCCCGCGGGACCGAUGCGUCGGUCGAGCGGGUCGGCUGAAGCGCAGCGGCGCGCCUCGCCCCCGCCUCCGAGCCUUCGGCUCGGAGGCGGUUCGGACUAUCCGUCGUGGUAAGUGGGAUUCUUCCCGCACCUCUUCCGACGGGUGUUCCGGUAAUCCGGGCGCGGCGUCAGCCGGCGGGAGCCCUCUCCGAGCCGCUCCCGCCCCCCACUCUUCACCUUUUGACCUCAGAUCAGGCAAGGCUACCCGCCGAAUUUAAGCAUAUCACUAAGCGGAGGAAAAGAAACUAACCAGGAUUCCCCUAGUAACGGCGAGUGAACCGGGAAGAGCCCAACUUGAAAAUCCGGAGCCCCUGCGGCUUCUGAAUUGUAGUCUUUAGAUCGCUGCCCCUGCGGCGGCCUCGGCCCAAGUCCCCUGGAAUGGGGCACCAGAGAGGGUGAGAGCCCCGUCGGCCGAGUCACCGUCGCUCCACGGGGCGCUUUCGCAGAGUCGAGUUCUUUGGGAAUGGAGCUCCAAUUGGGUGGUAAAUUCCAUCUAAGGCUAAAUACUGGCGAGAGACCGAUAGCGAACAAGUACCGUGAGGGAAAGAUGAAAAGAACUUUGAAAAGAGAGUUAAAAAGUACUUGAAAUUGUUGAGGGGGAAGCGUUUGGAAGUCGGAGUGCGCCCCGGUGUUAGGCUGGCUGAAGAGCCGGUUCACUCGCGCGGGGCGCCGGUCAGCCCGGGUUCGGGGGGCGGUACAAUCUUGCCGCUUCCUGGACUUCGGCUGGCGAAAGGCUUCCAACCGACCCGUCUAGAAACACGGACCAAGGAGUCUAACAUGUAUGCGAGUCGGCGGGUGGAAAACCCGUAGGCGCAAGGAAACUGACUGAACAGCAUCGACCAACCAUGAUCUUCUGUGAAAGGUUUGAGUACGAGCAUACCUGUUGGGACCCGAAAGAUGGUGAACUAUGCGUGA